Molecule: non-coding RNA, 95 nt
Organism: Tephrocybe rancida
Lineage: Eukaryota; Fungi; Basidiomycota; Agaricomycetes; Agaricales; Lyophyllaceae
Source: the annotation of a GenBank genome assembly
UCUCUGCUCGUAUAUCGGUCAGUACACGCGCCUGUCAUCACCCACGACUACAUCAUCGAGCGCGCGAAAGCUGGGUUCAACUCCCAGGCAGAGAG